GUAUCAGAAGUGCGAAUGCUGACAUAAGUAACGAUAAAGCGGGUGAAAAGCCCGCUCGCCGGAAGACCAAGGGUUCCUGUCCAACGUUAAUCGGGGCAGGGUGAGUCGACCCCUAAGGCGAGGCCGAAAGGCGUAGUCGAUGGGAAACAGGUUAAUAUUCCUGUACUUGGUGUUACUGCGAAGGGGGGACGGAGAAGGCUAUGUUGGCCGGGCGACGGUUGUCCCGGUUUAAGCGUGUAGGCUGGUUUUCCAGGCAAAUCCGGAAAAUCAAGGCUGAGGCGUGAUGACGAGGCACUACGGUGCUGAAGCAACAAAUGCCCUGCUUCCAGGAAAAGCCUCUAAGCAUCAGGUAACAUCAAAUCGUACCCCAAACCGACACAGGUGGUCAGGUAGAGAAUACCAAGGCGCUUGAGAGAACUCGGGUGAAGGAACUAGGCAAAAUGGUGCCGUAACUUCGGGAGAAGGCACGCUGAUAUGUAGGUGAAGCGACUUGCUCGUGGAGCUGAAAUCAGUCGAAGAUACCAGCUGGCUGCAACUGUUUAUUAAAAACACAGCACUGUGCAAACACGAAAGUGGAGCGUAAUGAUGGCCAGGCUGUCUCCACCCGAGACUCAGUGAAAUUGAACUCGCUGUGAAGAUGCAGUGUACCCGCGGCAAGACGGAAAGACCCCGUGAACCUUUACUAUAGCUUGACACUGAACAUUGAGCCUUGAUGUGUAGGAUAGGU
RNAcentral lists this ribosomal RNA (727 nucleotides) under Escherichia coli. RNAcentral's name for it is "bacterial LSU rRNA". It matches the Rfam family "Bacterial large subunit ribosomal RNA", at positions 1279 to 2148 of the family's 2925-position model. Lineage: Bacteria; Pseudomonadati; Pseudomonadota; Gammaproteobacteria; Enterobacterales; Enterobacteriaceae. The record is from RNAcentral.